UACGUAGGUGGCAAGCGUUAUCCGGAUUUACUGGGUGUAAAGGGCGUGCAGGCGGGUCUGCAAGUCGGGUGUGAAAUUUCCGGGCUUAACUCGGACGGGUCACCCGAAACUGCGGAUCUUGAGUACUGGAGAGGAUAGUGGAAUUCCUAGUGUAGCGGUAAAAUGCGUAGAUAUUAGGAGGAACACCAGUGGCGAAGGCGGCUAUCUGGACAGUAACUGACGCUGAGGCGCGAAAGCGUGGGGAGCAAACAGG
RNAcentral lists this ribosomal RNA (253 nucleotides) under uncultured Saccharofermentans sp. Its description in RNAcentral is "partial 16S ribosomal RNA". It matches the Rfam family "Bacterial small subunit ribosomal RNA", at positions 524 to 776 of the family's 1533-position model. The record is from RNAcentral. Lineage: Bacteria; Bacillati; Bacillota; Clostridia; Eubacteriales; Oscillospiraceae.